This 569-nucleotide long non-coding RNA is filed under the name Chrysolophus pictus (golden pheasant). Its description in RNAcentral is "lncRNA (ENSCPIG00010013074.1)". Lineage: Eukaryota; Metazoa; Chordata; Aves; Galliformes; Phasianidae. The record is from RNAcentral.
UUUCUUUGAAACUACUACUUUGUGGAAUGGAGGAAAAUGAGUAGGUUACAGAGACAAGAUUGUGAAUGAUGGAGGUGGGGCAAAGUUAGGAGACUUUGCAAGACCUGUUGGGUUACCUCUGGGGCAGGACAGCAACGCUGAAUGUAAACAGAGAGAGUCUAGAAGUGAAGGAGGAACCACUAAAAACAGCUGUUGUUUUUUCAUUUUAUUAUGAAUAGUGUUGGAGCAUUUCAAACCUUGGAUGUUUUAUGUGCAGCAAAAAAGGAGUGAAAGAUCAUAUCCAGCAUUCUGAGAAACGGAGAAUUGGGCAAAGUUCCUAUAAUUUGGAUCUUACACUUAAACAAUCCCCAACACAUGACCAAGGCUGGCAGAAAGGCAGCUGAUCCACAGUGGGAGCCCGGAGAGUGAAGUGAGUUUGAAGCUGUUGGAACAGUAGGCUUCUGGCAACCUGGGAUAAAGGAGUACUUGCAACAGGAGAAGGAAAGGAAGCAAGUCAGCAUGACACCAAAAAUGCCUUGUAUAGAGCACCACAGAGCAUAGGAAUUUCCAAUGAGAAAUCAAGCUCCCCU